CAGCCGCCGCGGUAAUACGUAGGUGGCAAGCGUUAUCCGGAAUUAUCGGGCGUAAAGCGCGCGCAGGCGGAUAGGUCAGUCUGUCUUAAAAGUUCGGGGCUUAACCCCGUGAUGGGAUGGAAACUGCCAAUCUAGAGUAUCGGAGAGGAAAGUGGAAUUCCUAGUGUAGCGAUGAAAUGUGUAGAUAUUAGGAAGAACACCAGUGGCGAAGGCGACUUUCUGGACGAAAACUGACGCUGAGGCGCGAAAGCCAGGGGAGCGAACGGGAUUAGAUACCCGUGUAGUCCCUGUCUCUUAUACC
RNAcentral lists this ribosomal RNA (301 nucleotides) under uncultured bacterium. RNAcentral describes it as "partial 16S ribosomal RNA". It matches the Rfam family "Bacterial small subunit ribosomal RNA", at positions 509 to 808 of the family's 1533-position model. The record is from RNAcentral.